Molecule: ribosomal RNA, 254 nt
Filed under: uncultured Armatimonadota bacterium
Lineage: Bacteria; Bacillati; Armatimonadota
Description: uncultured Armatimonadetes bacterium partial 16S ribosomal RNA
Rfam family: Bacterial small subunit ribosomal RNA
Source: RNAcentral
UACGUAGGGGGCGAGCGUUGUCCGAAGUUACUGGGCGUAAAGCGCGCGUAGGCGGUCUCUUAAGUCUGGGGUGAAAGGUUCAGCGCUCAACGUGAACAGUGCCUUGGAUACUGGGGGACUUGAGUUCGGGAGGGGGCAGUGGAAUUCCUGGUGUAGCGGUGAAAUGCGUAGAUAUCAGGAGGAACACCGGUGGCGAAGGCGGCUGCCUGGCCUAGAACUGACGCUGAGGUGCGAAAGCGUGGGGAGCGAACGGG